CGCCGUUGCCGGCGACCGGCGCACGGGUGAGUAACACGUAUGCAACCUGCCCGUGGCAGGGGGAUAAGCGGGGGAAACCCCGUCUAAUACCGCGUAACGCGGCCUUGGGGCAUCCCAAGGCCGCCAAAGGGAGCAAUCCCGGCCACGGAUGGGCAUGCGGCGCAUUAGCUAGUCGGCGGGGUAACGGCCCACCGAGGCGACGAUGCGUAGGGGUUCUGAGAGGAAGGCCCCCCACACUGGUACUGAGACACGGACCAGACUCCUACGGGAGGCAGCAG
RNAcentral lists this ribosomal RNA (278 nucleotides) under uncultured bacterium. Its description in RNAcentral is "partial 16S ribosomal RNA". It matches the Rfam family "Bacterial small subunit ribosomal RNA", at positions 69 to 354 of the family's 1533-position model. The record is from RNAcentral.